GUCAGGAUGGCCGAGUGGUCUAAGGCGCCAGACUCAAGGAUUAAAGUCCCUUCCCUAACACGGGUGUUCUGGUCUCCGAAUGGAGGCGUGGGUUCAAAUCCCACUUCUGACA
This 112-nucleotide transfer RNA is filed under the name Xenopus laevis (African clawed frog). It matches the Rfam family "tRNA". From Rfam's summary of the family: Transfer RNA (tRNA) molecules are approximately 80 nucleotides in length. The record is from Rfam by way of RNAcentral. Lineage: Eukaryota; Metazoa; Chordata; Amphibia; Anura; Pipidae.